Molecule: ribosomal RNA, 468 nt
Filed under: uncultured bacterium
Lineage: Bacteria
Description: partial 16S ribosomal RNA
Rfam family: Bacterial small subunit ribosomal RNA
Source: RNAcentral
GACGAACGCUGGCGGCGUGCUUAACACAUGCAAGUCGAACGGAAAGGCCCUGCUUUUGUGGGGUGCUCGAGUGGCGAACGGGUGAGUAACACGUGAGUAACCUGCCCUUGACUUUGGGAUAACUUCAGGAAACUGGGGCUAAUACCGGAUAGGAGCUCCUGCUGCAUGGUGGGGGUUGGAAAGUUUCGGCGGUUGGGGAUGGACUCGCGGCUUAUCAGCUUGUUGGUGGGGUAGUGGCUUACCAAGGCUUUGACGGGUAGCCGGCCUGAGAGGGUGACCGGCCUCAUGGGGACUGCGAUACGGCCCAGACGCCUACGGGAGGCAGCAGUGGGGAAUCUUGCACAAUGGGCGGAAGCCUGAUGCAGCAACGCCGCGUGCGGGAUGACGGUCUUCGGGUUGUAAACCGCUUUCGCCUGUGACGAAGCGUGAGUGACGGUAAUGGGUAAAGAAGCACCGGCUAACUACGUG